CCCGUAAGGACCUUACAAGAAAUUAGAAGUUUAGCUUUAACGCUAAACAAUUCAUCUACUAGAACUUUUGGAAGGGUUAAAAAACAAUUACUUGAGAUUAACAUAUUGUAUAUUGAGUACGACGGCGUUAUUUUGUGCGUGGACAUCUCUCUGCUUGCUGGCAUCCAUAGUUUUCAACAAAAUUCUCUCUACCAUAUUAUAGGAGAAAUUAAGUUGACUGAUUCUAAUCUUUGGUUGGAAACGUUCCCUGAGGAUCACUUUUUGAUACCUACUAUAAAACUUCAAGCACGCAUUUGUAAAUGUGCCGAGGGGCUUGACGUUGGUUUAUUUAUGGAAGCAAUAAAGUUGCGUAGGACGUAUCUGGAAAGCCUUACUAAUGAAAGUGAAAUGAGAAUAAGUUAGGAUUCUGAAUAUUAUUUACCUUAAGCAAAAUUCCUUUGGGAUU
This is a long non-coding RNA of Zophobas morio, 445 nucleotides long. RefSeq lists it as uncharacterized. The transcript has 4 exons. The record is from RefSeq and is a predicted model, not a curated record. NCBI's taxonomy places the organism in Eukaryota, Metazoa, Arthropoda, Insecta, Coleoptera, Tenebrionidae.